Molecule: ribosomal RNA, 253 nt
Filed under: uncultured bacterium
Lineage: Bacteria
Description: partial 16S ribosomal RNA
Rfam family: Bacterial small subunit ribosomal RNA
Source: RNAcentral
UACGAAGGGGGCUAGCGUUGUUCGGAAUUACUGGGCGUAAAGCGCGUGUAGGCGGGCCGUUAAGUUGGGGGUGAAAGCCCAGAGCUCAACUCUGGAAUUGCCUUCGAUACUGGCGGCCUGGAGCAUGAUAGAGGCGAGUGGAAUUGCGAGUGUAGAGGUGAAAUUCGUAGAUAUUCGCAGGAACACAAGUGGCGAAGGCGACUCGCUGGAUCAUUGCUGACGCUGAGACGCGAAAGCGUGGGGAGCAAACAGG